UUUCUGGUCAACCAAUUGUCUUUUCUUUUGAAUGGUCUUUCACAAAGGAAUUUCUCUAGCAUGUUUCUAAGGGUUCGAACUUUCUAGUCAUUGCUCAUUUUCAUUGGAGGAAGGUUGCUGCAGUUUCAUCUUGUACCCUCUACUACUGUAUCUGGUUCUUGAAAGUCUUUAGUUUUUUUAAAUAAAUUAUAAUCCUCACAACAAGGAGAACCAUGAUGGGUUGAGGAACUCGUGAGUGUAGUGAUAGCUUUUUAACAUGUUUGAUGUAUGUUUGUUCGGUGUCCUGAACAUUUCUUGCAUAUCUCCUUAUUGUUCUAGAGCAUGUAUGAAAGUUAAGGAGAGAUGAAGAAUUCGGCAAGCUGGCUGUUGUUGCUUAAGUGGCAGAAUAUGCAUGGAUGCAUCGACUUGCACAUAAGUGAUGCCCCGGUUAGGAGGCUAGAAGGUUGGCAAAGUGAUAGGAUUGCAAGGGGUUGGGGAAGACCUAAGAAAACUUGGAGGAAGGUGAUUGAGCACGAUCUGAGCCUACUUGGGAUUGAGGAAAAUAUGACGUUGGAUAGGAUAGAGUGAAGGGAGAGAAUAUACGUUGAUGACGUUAUUUGACUUAUACACCUUCCAUUUUAUUUUUUUAAUUUUUUUCUUCAAGGCUCACUUUUAAAUGCUAUUUUCAAAUAUACUAUUUUAUUUGUUUUUAAUUUUCUCGUUUUAAACUUUACUUAUUUUUACUAUCCCUUAUCACAUUUUUUUUUGUAAUAUAUAUAUUUACCUCUUAUUUUACUUUCAUAUUUUCACUUUCCCCCUCUUCCUUGUUUAUGCUUUUAACCUCCCGUUCUUAUCUUGUUUAUUUGGUCACAUUGACGAUCUCCUAUGUCGAUUCAUGUUAACGGUCCCCGAAUCAUUUUAGGACUAAGUUGUAUCUUACCUGGAGAAUGCUUGGUGACACGGAUAUGGAUAACACUUUGUAGUGAAUGGGACCUUGGGAGGUUGUGAUCUCUUAUUUUGGACGGUUGCAUGGUUCCUUAUUUUGGUUGCCCCAAAACAGCUUACACUUUCUUAGACAACCGUGCAACUUAGUUUCAGACAGAGGGACCGUCAUGGAGGGAAGUGAAAUCAGCAGCAGAGAAAUGAAUCAACACAAAUAACGUAGUCAAUGCAUAUGGCUACAUUACCUAGGACAAUUUGAAGAACUUAUUUAUGCCUUUUGUUAGACUCUCCAUAAUCAGAUUGCAAACAAUGUUUCCUGUUACCCUUGAUGAAUAUUACAAAGCAAAUAAUUCAUUAGGA
Spinacia oleracea (spinach) is the source of this 1281-nucleotide long non-coding RNA. RefSeq lists it as uncharacterized. The record is from RefSeq and is a predicted model, not a curated record. NCBI's taxonomy places the organism in Eukaryota, Viridiplantae, Streptophyta, Magnoliopsida, Caryophyllales, Amaranthaceae. The transcript has 2 exons.